CCUACGGGAGGCAGCAGUGAGGAAUAUUGGUCAAUGGGCGCGAGCCUGAACCAGCCAAGUCGCGUGAGGGAAGAAGGCCCUACGGGUUGUAAACCUCUUUUGCCGGGGAGCAAAGGGCGCCACGUGUGGCGCCACUGAGAGUACCCGGAGAAAAAGCAUCGGCUAACUCCGUGCCAGCAGCCGCGGUAAUACGGAGGAUGCGAGCGUUAUCCGGAUUUAUGGGGUUUAAAGGGUGCGUAGGCGGCGCGUUAAGUCAGUGGUCAAAUUGAGGGGCUCAACCCCUUCCCGCCAGUGAAACUGGCGCUCUUGAGUGGGAGAGAAGUAUGCGGAAUGCGGGGUGUAGCGGUGAAAUGCAUAGAUAUCGCGCAGAACCCCGAUUGCGAAGGCAGCAUGCCGGCUUCCGACUGACGCUGAAGCACGAAAGCGUGGGGAUCGAACAGGAUUAGAUACCCUAGUAGUC
This 460-nucleotide ribosomal RNA is filed under the name uncultured bacterium. Its description in RNAcentral is "partial 16S ribosomal RNA". It matches the Rfam family "Bacterial small subunit ribosomal RNA", at positions 338 to 795 of the family's 1533-position model. The record is from RNAcentral.